Molecule: ribosomal RNA, 253 nt
Filed under: uncultured bacterium
Lineage: Bacteria
Description: partial 16S ribosomal RNA
Rfam family: Bacterial small subunit ribosomal RNA
Source: RNAcentral
UACGUAGGUGACAAGCGUUGUCCGGAUUUACUGGGCGUAAAGAGCGCGCAGGCGGUCGAUCAAGUCGAGUGUGAAAGCCCCCGGCUCAACUGGGGAGGGUCAUUCGAAACUGGUCGACUCGAAGGCAGGAGAGGGUAGUGGAAUUCCCGGUGUAGUGGUGAAAUGCGUAGAUAUCGGGAAGAACACCGGUGGCGAAGGCGGCCAUCUGGACCACAACUGACGCUGAGGCGCGAAAGCGUGGGGAGCAAACAGG